RNAcentral lists this ribosomal RNA (1925 nucleotides) under human gut metagenome. Its description in RNAcentral is "bacterial LSU rRNA". It matches the Rfam family "Bacterial large subunit ribosomal RNA", at positions 3 to 1973 of the family's 2925-position model. The record is from RNAcentral.
UCAAGCGACUAAGUGUAUGUGGUGGAUGCCUUGGCGAUCACAGGCGAUGAAGGACGUGACAGCCUGCGAAAAGCUGUGGGGAGCUGGCAAAUAAGCUUUGAUCCACAGAUGUCCGAAUGAGGGAACUCACCUGCUUUGCAGGUAUCCCAUCCUGAAUAUAUAGGGAUGGGAGGCGAACGAAGCGAACUGAAACAUCUAAGUAGCUUCAGGAAAAGAAAUCAACCGAGAUUCCGAAAGUAGCGGCGAGCGAAAUCGGAUCAGCCCAGCACUCGAUAGCAGCCAACUUACGGGAACGGUCUGGAAAGUCCGGCCAUAGAGGGUGAUAGCCCCUUACUGGAAAAGGCAGCUGUGGUACUAAGUGUGCGAUAAGUAGAGCGGGACACGUGACAUCCUGCUCGAAGAUGGGGGGACCAUCCUCCAAGGCUAAAUACUCGUGAUCGACCGAUAGCGUACCAGUACUGUGAAGGAAAGGUGAAAAGAACCCCGGGAGGGGAGUGAAAUAGAUCCUGAAACCGCAUACAUACAAACAGUAGGAGCCUCGUUAAGGGGUGACUGCGUACCUUUUGCAUAAUGGGUCAGCGACUUACGUUUAAUGGCGAGCUUAACCGUAUAGGGGAGGCGCAGCGAAAGCGAGUUCGAACAGAGCGUUCAGUCGUUAGGCGUAGACCCGAAACCAGAUGAUCUAUCCAUGGCCAGGUUGAAGGUGUGGUAACACACACUGGAGGACCGAACCGACUAGUGUUGCAAAAUUAGCGGAUGAGCUGUGGAUAGGGGUGAAAGGCUAAACAAAUCUGGAGAUAGCUGGUUCUCCCCGAAAACUAUUGAGGUAGUGCCUCGUGUAUGACUCCAGGGGGUAGAGCACUGUUAUGGCUAGGGGGACAUGGCGUCUUACCAAACCAUGGCAAACUCCGAAUACUUGGAAGUUUGAGCACGGGAGACAGAGCACCGGGUGCUAACGUCCGGACUCAAGAGGGAAACAACCCAGACCGCCGGCUAAGGUCCCUAAUAUUGACUAAGUGGAAAACGAAGUGGAAAGGCUAAGACAGUCAGGAAGUUGGCUUAGAAGCAGCCAUCCUUCAAAGAAAGCGUAAUAGCUCACUGAUCGAGUCUUUCUGCGCGGAAGAUGUAACGGGGCUAAGUCAAUAACCGAAGCCGCGGAUUCACACUUGUGUGUGAGUGGUAGGGGAGCGUUCUGUAAGCCUGCGAAGGUGACUCGUAAGGGUUGCUGGAGGUAUCAGAAGUGCGAAUGCUGACAUGAGUAACGUUAAAGCGGGUGAAAAGCCCGCUCGCCGUAAGCCCAAGGUUUCCUGCUCUACGUUCAUCGGAGCAGGGUGAGUCGGCCCCUAAGGUGAGGCUGAGAAGCGUAACUGAUGGGAACAAGGUUAAUAUUCCUUGACCACCGCUGAAUGCGAAGGGGGGACGGAGUAUUGAAGAUCAUCCGGGUGUUGGAUAUCCCGGUUUGCGAGCGUAGGAGGCUGACAGGCAAAUCCGUCAGCGAAUCUCCGAGGCAAAGCAUCGAGCUCUCUUUUGAGCGAAGUGAUUGGAUGUGCUUCCAGGAAAAGCCUCUAAGCUCCAGUUCAGCGGGACCGUACCGCAAACCGACACUGGUGGGCGAGCUGAAUAUGCUCAGGCGCUUGAGAGAACUCAGGAGAAGGAACUCGGCAAAUUGACACCGUAACUUCGGGAUAAGGUGUGCCUUUGUAGCGUGGAGGGAGAAACACCCCGAGCGCGAAGAGGUCUCAGAUAAUCGGUGGCUGCGACUGUUUAUUAAAAACACAGCACUCUGCAAAGACGAAAGUCGACGUAUAGGGUGUGAUGCCUGCCCGGUGCUGGAAGAUUAAUUGAUGGGGUGCAAGCUCCUGAUCGAAGUCCCAGUAAACGGCGGCCGUAACUAUAACGGUCCUAAGGUAGCGAAAUUCCUUGUC